UUGUGGGAAUCUACGUUAUGAGAAGCAUUUUGCACGCAGCUGGCUAUGCAGCAUUGUUAGCGCAAAUCCAGUAUUCGUGGGUGGGACGCGAUUACAGCGAACUAGAUCGAGAGAGUGCGUGUGCGUGCACGACGACAGCAACAAGACGUACGACGGUAAUAACGAUUGCAUGGUUUGUACGAACGAUCGAAUUGAUGUGAACGAGUGGCAUGGAUCCGUGUGCGAGAUGGGUGAGAAAUGCAGAAACUAAAUGCUCACCGACGGCAGUACGUGGUCUCACCUGGAGGGCGCAAGUGGCUGACGACGGCGAUACUGUAGCACAACCGGAAGCCCGUGUACUUUUAUAACCAUUCGGACAAGUGGCCGGGCCGUGAUGACGCUGCGAAUUCGGCGCAGCGUUGUCGUACUCGCACACUAUGUGCACCAGCAAAAGAGCAUGCAGGCCUCGAUGCUUGAUUAAGCGGCCUAGUAACGACGAGAAGGGCCGUGAAAGUCCGAUACGAGCUUCGGGAGGAACGAGGCACGUUGCUGUCCGGCGCUGGAAACAAACGCUCGUGGGAAACUUGCUUUUUCAACCGCUGUUUGAACAGAUGCAACCACCACCCUUCGUUCUACUGCCGAGAUGCCGGCAUCUUACGGAUGCCACCUGGCUCGAACGCAGCCCUCUGCAACCAGGCUGCAGCACAGUGAAGUGAGUAAGCAAUGCUAAGAGGGUGGCCUUCCCAGGCAGACAAGCACUUUGUGUUCCACGGGCAGGGUGACCUUUGAAGCAAGCAGUGAUGACAAUCUGCAUGUACCCAUCAGACACUGAACAGCCGCUGAGGAACUUGUUGACAAUGAACCCAGGUGUGCUUUCGGGAAGGACACGGAAUGACAAAGGCCGAGCUCGUGCUGCCUGGAGUUCAACAAGAACAAAGAACAGCAGACGCAACCAUUUGUGCGAAAAUCAGAUUGGCUAGGCUUCUUGGCCAAGAGACUGCGUGACAAUGUUUGUUGCAGCACUCGGGGACAAAAACAGACAAAUAACUUCUGCUCGGUUACCUCAAGUUGGAAAAGGGAUGUUGUGCAGAAUAGAAGUCAAUAAAGAUAUACA
This is a long non-coding RNA of Dermacentor silvarum, 1093 nucleotides long. RefSeq lists it as uncharacterized. Lineage: Eukaryota; Metazoa; Arthropoda; Arachnida; Ixodida; Ixodidae. The transcript is spliced from 2 exons. The record is from RefSeq and is a predicted model, not a curated record.